This 253-nucleotide ribosomal RNA is filed under the name uncultured bacterium. RNAcentral describes it as "partial 16S ribosomal RNA". It matches the Rfam family "Bacterial small subunit ribosomal RNA", at positions 524 to 776 of the family's 1533-position model. The record is from RNAcentral.
UACGUAGGGGGCAAGCGUUGUCCGGAUUUAUUGGGCGUAAAGAGCGUGUAGGCGGCUUGGUAGGUCCGCUGUGAAAACUCGAGGCUCAACCUCGAGAUGUCGGCGGAAACCACUUGGCUAGAGUCCGGAAGAGGAGAGUGGAAUUCCUGGUGUAGCGGUGAAAUGCGCAGAUAUCAGGAAGAACACCUAUGGCGAAGGCAGCUCUCUGGGACGGUACUGACGCUGAGGCGCGAAGGCGUGGGGAGCGAACGGG